This 433-nucleotide ribosomal RNA is filed under the name uncultured bacterium. RNAcentral describes it as "partial 16S ribosomal RNA". It matches the Rfam family "Bacterial small subunit ribosomal RNA", at positions 29 to 507 of the family's 1533-position model. The record is from RNAcentral.
AGCGAACGCUGGCGGCAGGCCUAACACAUGCAAGUCGAACGAACUCUUCGGAGUUAGUGGCGGACGGGUGAGUAACACGUGGGAACGUGCCUUUUGGUUCGGAAUAACUCAGGGAAACUUGUGCUAAUACCGAAUGUGCCCUUCGGGGGAAAGAUUUAUCGCCAUUAGAGCGGCCCGCGUCUGAUUAGCUAGUUGGCGAGGUAACGGCUCACCAAGGCGACGAUCAGUAGCUGGUCUGAGAGGAUGACCAGCCACACUGGGACUGAGACACGGCCCAGACUCCUACGGGAGGCAGCAGUGGGGAAUCGUGCGCAAUGGGCGAAAGCCUGACGCAGCCAUGCCGCGUGAAUGAUGAAGGUCUUAGGAUUGUAAAAUUCUUUCACCGGGGACGAUAAUGACGGUACCCGGAGAAGAAGCCCCGGCUAACUUCGUG